RNAcentral lists this ribosomal RNA (1860 nucleotides) under Triticum aestivum (bread wheat). RNAcentral describes it as "partial small subunit ribosomal RNA". Lineage: Eukaryota; Viridiplantae; Streptophyta; Magnoliopsida; Poales; Poaceae. The record is from RNAcentral.
AUGGAGGAACAAGCAAAACUUAUCUUAAAGAAGUGUGAUGGACUUCCCCUUACAAUAUCAACUAUAGGUGGAUUCCUUGCCACUAAGCCUAAAACUGCUAUUGAAUGGAGGAAGAUGCAUGGCCGUAUUAGUGCUGAGUUGGAGAUCAACCCAGAGCUUAGGACUAUAAAGACAGUCCUUAUGAGGAGCUAUGAUGGCUUACCCUACCACCUCAAGUCAUGUUUCUUAUACAUGGCCAUAUUCCCGGAAGACUACAUAAUUAAGCGCAAGCGUCUGGUGAAGCGGUGGAUUGCAGAGGGUUAUUGCAAAGAGAUGUUGGGCAUGACAGCAGAAGAAGUUGGUGAUACCUACUUUGAUGAGCUUUUAGAGAGGAGUAUGAUUUUGCCGGGAGAAGGUGUAAACCAUCAUAGUGGAAAAGUUGAUUCUUGUCAGCUUCAUGAUAUCAUUCGUGAAAUAUGCAUCUCGAAGGCUAAGGAGGAAAAUCUUGUUUUCAUACUUGAGGAAGGAUGUUGUUUGAGCAGUACACAAGGUCCGAUACGGCAUCUUGUCAUUAGCAGCAAUUGGAAAAGAGAUAAAGAUGUGUUUGAUAAUAUGCUGGACUUGUCGCAUGUGAGAUCAGUGACCGUGUAUGGAGAGUGGACACCGUAUUUCAUCUCUGAAAAGAUGAGGUUCCUCCGGGUCCUCGAUUUGGAGGGCACAAUACGGUUCAGAAAUCACCAUCUUGACGAAAUUGGGCAGUUCCAUCACCUCAGAUACCUCUCUAUACGAAAUUGUGUUUACGUUUGGUACCUUCCUAGUUCUAUUGGGAAUUUGAGCCACCUCCAAACACUGGAUAUCAAAGGCACGCAUAUAUAUGAAUUGCCAGCAACUAUCACCAAGCUUCGCAAGCUACAAUACCUCCGUACAACCGGUGUUCCUAUUGGCGCAGAAAAGGAGGAUGCCAUGUUUGAUUAUGAGUUAGUUCAAAGGUCCAUAGGCUGCAGACUUUUGGUAUUUCAGCAGGCCAUUUUUUUGCUGUCUCUAGUCAAAUCAUUUUGGAGUGCACAACGUUCAGAACUUGGCUUGAACAUGCAUGAUAUAUUCAACCUGCACCGCGCUGCCUGGGUGUUUGUACACAGUGAACAUAGGGAUGGAGUUAAAGCUCCAAGGGGGACAGGAAAAUUGACGGCAAUGCAAAAUCUGGGUGUUGUCAAUGUUGCAAGGGGGCAGGAAAAGGUCCUAGAGGAGUUCAGUGCACUUACCCAGCUGCGUGAGCUUCAUGUAGCUGGUAUCAGCAAGGGAAACCAGAAAAAUUUCUGGUCUGUCAUUGCUGCUCACAACAAACUUCGUUCUUUGACUGUGCAUGGAGAUGAUAUAGAUGGUUGUUUGGGUGGGGAUUUGUUCCCACCAAAACACCUUGAGAGCCUCAAGUUGGCCGGACACCUAUACAGAGUACCGGAUUGGAUGCAUCACCUACAGAGUCUAUCAAAAUUGGACCUAGAUGAAAGCAAACUGAAAAAUGUUGUUGACAUACAAACCCUCGGUGAGCUAGCAAACCUCCAGGUUUUACGACUGAGAGACUCCGUAAUUGAAGAAAUGAAUGAGCUGCAGUUCCUUGGCUCAUCUUUCCCGAGCCUGCUGGUGCUCGAGCUUUGGGUCCCGUCCAGUCUCAACCUUUUGAGGUUUGAAAAUGACGCAAUGCCUAAGCUCGAGCUGCUACAAACUGAUGAAUACCUGGAGAUGAAGGGGCUACAAUUUCUCACGAACCUCAAGGAAAUUCGGAUGGAUGGUGAAGGCAUCAAUAAGAUGAAGAUGGAGUUAGAGAAGCAGUAUGCGGAGCAUCCAAAUCUCAAGAACAUCAGCUUGAAGCUGAUUACCUGA